Molecule: ribosomal RNA, 253 nt
Filed under: uncultured bacterium
Lineage: Bacteria
Description: partial 16S ribosomal RNA
Rfam family: Bacterial small subunit ribosomal RNA
Source: RNAcentral
UACGUAGGCAGCGAGCGUUGUUCGGAGUUACUGGGCGUAAAGCGUGCGUAGGCGGUGUCUUAAGUUUGUUGUGAAAUCUCCCGGCUUAACCGGGAGGGUGCGGCGAAUACUGAGAUGCUGGAGUGCCGGAGAGGUAAGCGGAAUUCCUGGUGUAGCGGUGAAAUGCGUAGAGAUUUGGAGGAACACCAGUGGCGAAGGCGGCUUUCUGGUCUGUAACUGACACUGAGGCGCGAAAGCGUGGGGAGCGAACAGG